CACUCUGUCCCCCGCGCCGCUUGCCGAGGCCACUCAUCGGGUCACCUCCGCCGGGGGCGCCCGCCAGCACGGGCAUGAUUCUGCAUUUUUUCCUGACAGGCUAGGUGUGGAGCCGCCCUCCGCAGCCCACCCCGGCCCAGGUGAUGCUCAGACUGAGGAGUCGGGGGCGCGCCGGCCAGGGCGGGCGGCGGGCUUGGGGACUGCCACUGCCCUGAUAGAGCGGGGCUUUUCCGCUUACGCACGGCCGCGUCGAAACCGCGGCAUCCAAAUGUCUUCAGCAUUAAGAUGCCAGGCCUCGGGUGUGUGAGGAAACCGAGAUGCAGGAGAGGGCGAGAAGAAAGGAGGCCGGGAGACCCUGGGGCCUGGGAAGUGAGGGGAGGGGUACCGGGAAAACCGCGGCUGGCAGUGCAAACCCUAGCGCGAUGUGUGGAGUGGAGAGCGCUCUUGGGAGCCGGCAGGAGCCUCUGAGGACGCGGGGGCCAAGGGCCCCAUCCCUUGCCCUCCCUUCUUCCCUCCCUUUCUCACUCCCCACCCUACCCCCACCUAGGAUGUGGCUGGGCCGCCGGGCCCUGUGCGCUCUGGUCCUUCUGCUCGCCUGCGCCUCGCUGGGGCUCCUGUACGCGAGCACCCGGGACGCGCCCGGCCUCCGGCUACCUCUUGCGCCGUGGGCGCCCCCGCAAAGCCCCCGCAGGCCCGAGCUGCCAGAUCUUGCUCCUGAGCCCCGCUACGCACACAUCCCGGUCAGGAUCAAGGAGCAAGUAGUGGGGCUGCUGGCUUGGAACAACUGCAGUUGUGAGUCCAGUGGGGGGGGCCUCCCCCUCCCCUUCCAGAAACAAGUCCGAGCUAUUGACCUCACCAAGGCCUUUGACCCUGCAGAGCUGAGGGCUGCCUCUGCCACAAGAGAGCAGGAGUUCCAGGCCUUUCUGUCGAGGUACCAGCUUGAAAGAAGCGCAUGACUCCUCAGGGGGAGAGCAGUGAUUGUGCCGGGAGGGAGAGACCCUCU
Molecule: long non-coding RNA, 1003 nt
Filed under: Homo sapiens (human)
Lineage: Eukaryota; Metazoa; Chordata; Mammalia; Primates; Hominidae
Description: non-protein coding lnc-DCTN2-2:1
Source: RNAcentral